CCUACGGGUGGCAGCAGUGAGGAAUAUUGGUCAAUGGACGAGAGUCUGAACCAGCCAAGUAGCGUGAAGGAUGACUGCCCUAUGGGUUGUAAACUUCUUUUAUAUGGGAAUAAAACGUUCCACGUGUGGGAUUUUGUAUGUACCAUAUGAAUAAGGAUCGGCGAACUCCGUGCCAGCAGCCGCGGUAAUACGGAGGAUCCGAGCGUUAUCCGGAUUUAUUGGGUUUAAAGGGAGCGUAGGUGGAUUGUUAAGUCAGUUGUGAAAGUUUGCGGCGCAACCGUAAAAUUGCAGUUGAAACUGGCAGUCUUGAGUACAGUAGAGGUGGGCGGAAUUCGUGGUGUAGCGGUGAAAUGCUUAGAUAUCACGAAGAACUCCGAUUGCGAAGGCAGUUCACUGGACUGCAACUGACACUGAGGCUCGAAAGUGUGGGUAUCAAACAGGAUUAGAUACCCCUGUAGUC
This 460-nucleotide ribosomal RNA is filed under the name uncultured bacterium. Its description in RNAcentral is "partial 16S ribosomal RNA". It matches the Rfam family "Bacterial small subunit ribosomal RNA", at positions 338 to 795 of the family's 1533-position model. The record is from RNAcentral.